Molecule: ribosomal RNA, 893 nt
Filed under: Enterococcus faecium
Lineage: Bacteria; Bacillati; Bacillota; Bacilli; Lactobacillales; Enterococcaceae
Description: bacterial SSU rRNA
Rfam family: Bacterial small subunit ribosomal RNA
Source: RNAcentral
UUUUUUUUUUUUUUAAUCCGCAGACGAACGCUGGCGGCGUGCCUAAUACAUGCAAGUCGAACGCUUCUUUUUCCACCGGAGCUUGCUCCACCGGAAAAAGAGGAGUGGCGAACGGGUGAGUAACACGUGGGUAACCUGCCCAUCAGAAGGGGAUAACACUUGGAAACAGGUGCUAAUACCGUAUAACAAUCGAAACCGCAUGGUUUUGAUUUGAAAGGCGCUUUCGGGUGUCGCUGAUGGAUGGACCCGCGGUGCAUUAGCUAGUUGGUGAGGUAACGGCUCACCAAGGCCACGAUGCAUAGCCGACCUGAGAGGGUGAUCGGCCACAUUGGGACUGAGACACGGCCCAAACUCCUACGGGAGGCAGCAGUAGGGAAUCUUCGGCAAUGGACGAAAGUCUGACCGAGCAACGCCGCGUGAGUGAAGAAGGUUUUCGGAUCGUAAAACUCUGUUGUUAGAGAAGAACAAGGAUGAGAGUAACUGUUCAUCCCUUGACGGUAUCUAACCAGAAAGCCACGGCUAACUACGUGCCAGCAGCCGCGGUAAUACGUAGGUGGCAAGCGUUGUCCGGAUUUAUUGGGCGUAAAGCGAGCGCAGGCGGUUUCUUAAGUCUGAUGUGAAAGCCCCCGGCUCAACCGGGGAGGGUCAUUGGAAACUGGGAGACUUGAGUGCAGAAGAGGAGAGUGGAAUUCCAUGUGUAGCGGUGAAAUGCGUAGAUAUAUGGAGGAACACCAGUGGCGAAGGCGGCUCUCUGGUCUGUAACUGACGCUGAGGCUCGAAAGCGUGGGGAGCAAACAGGAUUAGAUACCCUGGUAGUCCACGCCGUAAACGAUGAGUGCUAAGUGUUGGAGGGUUUCCGCCCUUCAGUGCUGCAGCUAACGCAUAAGCACUCC